Molecule: ribosomal RNA, 210 nt
Filed under: Triticum aestivum (bread wheat)
Lineage: Eukaryota; Viridiplantae; Streptophyta; Magnoliopsida; Poales; Poaceae
Description: partial small subunit ribosomal RNA
Source: RNAcentral
AUGAAGACAGCCACCAUUAACCAUCUUUCCACACAUAACCACUUCCUCACUACUAGCAUGCCAACGAAAAGGAGAAAAAUUCCAUCACCACUAGCUCGCUCGCAUGCACGCCUUCGAAAUCCAAGGUGUCCACUCAAUUCCAACUGCAGUGCUGCCGCAGAUCUGUCGGUUUCUAUAACCCCUAACCUCUGCUGCCGCACCUCUCUGUAG